This is a long non-coding RNA of Crotalus tigris (Tiger rattlesnake), 1699 nucleotides long. RefSeq lists it as uncharacterized. The record is from RefSeq and is a predicted model, not a curated record. NCBI's taxonomy places the organism in Eukaryota, Metazoa, Chordata, Lepidosauria, Squamata, Viperidae. The transcript has 3 exons.
AGACCUACACAAUAGAUUUUUUCUCUCUCUCGCUCGCUCGCUCGCUCUCUGCAGCUCUUUGUUCCAAGGAGCCGAAAAACUUCACAGAAGAAGGCAUUGGCAAUGCAAUUGUGGUGUGAAUGCCAGUGCCGAAAAGAAAUGAAAAGAAUCUGGGCAUGUCUACAAAGUUAGCAAAAGUAGAACUCGACUGGACCCGAAGCAGAGGGCGUUGCUCAAGCGAAGUAGAAACCCAGUAGUAACAAAAGAUGGAAUAAUAUCACAGUGCUUCAGAAGCAAUUGUGACACACUAGGGAAGUAAAAAUGAGCUGAUCUGGAAAUCUCUUCUACUUUUCUAUAGGAUCCUAUCCCUUUAACCUGAAGCAAAUGCCAAAAGCAGCAUAGAAUGUGUAACCUUUGACCUGAAAACAAGAAACAUGCUUUGUCGUACAACUGAGAAAAUAAUGACAAAUGAACAGAUAAAAACACUGCAUAUCAAGAACUCAUUUCUAUGGCUUCAAUUUUUCAGUAACCACCAAAUGUAUAAUCAUCUGAAGCGGAAGAAGCAGAAAAAUUCUACUGAACAGCUAGUAACGUACACUGAUGCAUUUGCAAAGCUGAUUGUAUGAUGGUAAAAAAAAAAAAAGGCAGGAUUUUUGUAGAACAGAAUUUGUUGCCAGAUGUACUGCAUUAAAAUUCCUGCAGUCACGAGUUAAGAUAAACUUUAGAAGUCAAGAUGGACAAGGCUGUUAUAAAACAACACAACUUGGGAGACUAGUCUCCCUAUCUGUUCUGUUAAAGGUUCAAACUUACUUUUAAAUCACAUACACUGCAUACAGAAAAGCCCUUCCACAGGAUAAAGAUUUAUUACAGGCUUUUAUUAUUUAUUUAUAGUUUCUAUAGUUCAUUUUUCCACAUAUAUAAUUCACUUUUGAAAAUUCCUCUCAUGCAUUGAAAAUUUUUUCUUUAUUUUAAAGGACUCAAAUUUGUAGUACAUUUAUAAAGAUAAAGGGUUUUUUUAUUAAAAGUCUUGUUUCCUUAGAAGCAAUCUGAAAAUGUGCUAAAAUUAAGACUAGAGGAUUUCCAUUCAUAAGGGUUUCUCCUCAUGUGAUAAUGGAACGAGCAGUCACUUCCGUAUUUUACCGUGUCCUUCCACAACAUAAAACUAAAGCAACAAGUCGCAGGAACUCCUUAAUGCAUCAAGUACUUCUUAGCCAUGUAUUAUUACUGAGGCCUUCAAUAGUACUCAGCCCCCAUUGGGAUAGCAGCUCAAAUACAAUCUGCUUUUGUGGAAUUCAUUAAUGUAAGUUAAGCAGGCAAAUUAUUUGGAUCAAGAUCAAAAAAGUUGCUUUAGACAUAAUUGUGCACUGGCACACCUCCAGAAAUAGCUUCUCUCAACAGCUGACUCUCAAGUCGUAUCAAAGCUCCAGGUGCAUAGAGCCCAACAUGAUCUGAACCAUGAUUCCACUCUAGAAAGACAUUCACUGAAUCUUUCUGGGUGAAGCAGGGGAAAAAAGCUGAAGUUCUUUAGCAAGAGAUUGAUUAAAAGGUGAUGUUGAACACCACUAUCAAUCUCCUUCCCAAAUAAUUUUUUCAACAAACCAAGAUGUACUAAUUUUCAAUCCACUGUAAAUUUGGGAGGCAAGAGACUGGUUAUAUCUAUUAAAAAUAGUAAAAUGGGGAAAAUGUAGGUCUUUGUUAACAGAGGAAAAGGAAAAAAAAA